UGCAUGUACCGUAUGAAUAAGCAUCGGCUAAUUCCGUGCCAGCAGCCGCGGUAAUACGGAAGAUGCGAGCGUUAUCCGGAUUUAUUGGGUUUAAAGGGAGCGUAGGCGGGUCUUUAAGUCAGUGGUCAAAGCGUGUGGCUCAACCAUACCACGCCAUUGAUACUGGAGACCUUGAGUGCACAUAAGGAUGGUGGAAUGCGUAGAUAUAUGGAAGAACACCAGUGGCGAAGGCGGCUGCCUGGUCUGUAACUGACGCUGAGACUCGAAAGCAUGGGUAGCGAACAGGAUUAGAUACCCUG
Molecule: ribosomal RNA, 299 nt
Filed under: uncultured bacterium
Lineage: Bacteria
Description: partial 16S ribosomal RNA
Rfam family: Bacterial small subunit ribosomal RNA
Source: RNAcentral